AGUCGUAACAAGGUCUCCGUAGGUGAACCUGCGGAGGGAUCAUUACACAAAUAUGAAGGCGGGCUGGAACCUCUCGGGGUUACAGCCUUGCUGAAUUAUUCACCCUUGUCUUUUGCGUACUUCUUGUUUCCUUGGUGGGUUCGCCCACCACUAGGACAAACAUAAACCUUUUGUAAUUGCAAUCAGCGUCAGUAACAAAUUAAUAAUUACAACUUUCAACAACGGAUCUCUUGGUUCUGGCAUCGAUGAAGAACGCAGCGAAAUGCGAUAAGUAGUGUGAAUUGCAGAAUUCAGUGAAUCAUCGAAUCUUUGAACGCACAUUGCGCCCUUUGGUAUUCCAAAGGGCAUGCCUGUUCGAGCGUCAUUUGUACCCUCAAGCUUUGCUUGGUGUUGGGCGUCCUGUCUCUAGCUUUGCUGGAGACUCGCCUUAAAGUAAUUGGCAGCCGGCCUACUGGUUUCGGAGCGCAGCACAAGUCGCACUCUCUAUCAGCAAAGGUCUAGCAUCCAUUAAGCCUUUUUUUUCAACUUUUGACCUCGGAUCAGGUAGGGAUACCCGCUGAACUUAAGCAUAUCAAUAGGAAGUAAAAGUCG
RNAcentral lists this ribosomal RNA (591 nucleotides) under uncultured fungus. RNAcentral describes it as "eukaryotic LSU rRNA". The stretch from base 211 to 364 matches the Rfam family "5.8S ribosomal RNA". Lineage: Eukaryota; Fungi. The record is from RNAcentral.